CCUACGGGAGGCAGCAGUGAGGAAUAUUGGUCAAUGGGCGCGAGCCUGAACCAGCCAAGCCGCGUGAGUGAAGACGGUCCUAUGGAUUGAAAACCUCUUUUGCCGGGGAGCAAAAGACGCCACGCGUGGCGUUACGAGAGUCCCCGAACAAAAAGCAUCGCUCAACUCUGGGCCAGCAGCCGGGGUAAUACGGAGGCUUUGAGCGUUAUCGGGAUUAAUGGGGGUAAAAGGGUCGGCGGGGGGAAGAUCAGGUCAGAGGUAAAAAUGAGAGGUUAAACCUCUUCGAGCCGUUGAAACUGGUUUGCUUGAGUGAGCGAGAGGUAUGCGGAAUGCGUGGUGUAGCGGUGAAAUGCAUAGAUAUCACGCGGAACUCCGGUUGCGAAGGCAGCAUACCGGCGCUCAACUGACGCUCAUGCACGAAAGUGUGGGUAGCGAACAGGAUUAGAUACCCGUGUAGUC
RNAcentral lists this ribosomal RNA (459 nucleotides) under uncultured bacterium. RNAcentral describes it as "partial 16S ribosomal RNA". It matches the Rfam family "Bacterial small subunit ribosomal RNA", at positions 338 to 795 of the family's 1533-position model. The record is from RNAcentral.